GAUGAAGAACGUAGCGAAAUGCGAUAAGUAAUGUGAAUUGCAGAAUUCAGUGAAUCAUCGAAUCUUUGAACGCACAUUGCGCCCCUUGGUAUUCCGAGGGGCAUGCCUGUUCGAGCGUCAUUAUAACCCCUCAAGCUCAGCUUGGUGUUGGGGCCUGCUGCACUGGCAGCCCUUAAAAUCAGUGGCGGCGCCAUCUGGCUCUAAGCGUAGUAAUUCUUCUCGCUAUGGAGUCCUGGUGGAUGCUUGCCAUCCACCCCCAAUUUUUCUAUGGUUGACCUCGGAUCAGGUAGGGAUACCCGCUGAACUUAAGCAUAUCAAUAAGCGGAGGA
RNAcentral lists this unclassified non-coding RNA (329 nucleotides) under soil metagenome. RNAcentral describes it as "partial contains 5.8S ribosomal RNA, internal transcribed spacer 2, and large subunit ribosomal RNA". The stretch from base 1 to 120 matches the Rfam family "5.8S ribosomal RNA", at positions 35 to 154 of the family's 154-position model. The record is from RNAcentral.